Molecule: ribosomal RNA, 253 nt
Filed under: uncultured bacterium
Lineage: Bacteria
Description: partial 16S ribosomal RNA
Rfam family: Bacterial small subunit ribosomal RNA
Source: RNAcentral
UACAGAGGUCUCAAGCGUUGUUCGGAUUCAUUGGGCGUAAAGGGCGCGUAGGCGGCGGGGUAAGUCGGAUGUGAAAUCUCAGAGCUCAACUCUGAAACUGCACUCGAUACUGCUUUGCUAGAGGACUGGAGAGGAGAUUGGAAUUCACGGUGUAGCAGUGAAAUGCGUAGAUAUCAAGAGGAACACCAGUGGCGAAGGCGAGUCCCGGGGCAACACCUGACACUGAGGCACGAAAGCCGGGGGAGCAAACAGG